CUUCUAGAAACUGCUGAGCGGCUCUGCCUCUGCUCCAGAAGGAGAGGCCGUAAUGGCUGAGGAGACAUGGAAGCAGGCAACUGGAACUGGAUGCUGAGAGAUCACACCUUCAAUCACACAUAAAAAGCAGAGAGUAUGACCUGGAAGUGGGUACCCCAGGUACCUGGAGUUUAGACUUCAGCAUAUUGUUUUGGGAUGAAAUUCACCUCACUAUAGGGAACAGGGAUGUUUUUCCCAGAAUUGAACAACAGAGGUGUCAGAAAGUAAGACCUGGAUGCUGGAGAGCUGGCUCAGUGGAGCCCUCAUCCAGUGGCUGAUGGAAGCAGAGACAGACAUCCACAGAUAUACAUUGAACUGAACUCUGGAACUUAACUGCAGAGAGGGAGGAAUGAAGAUUGAAGGGGUCGGUACCAGGCUGGUGAAACCCUCAGAAACAGCUGGCCUGAACAAGGGGGAGCACAUUGACCCCAGACUGCUGUCUGGGAGGCCAGUACAGGACUGAUCCAGACCUCUGAACAUGGAUGUCAGUAAGGAGGCCUCUGGACUCUAGGGGGCCCCUAAUAGUGGAUUAGUAUUUUUCCCUGGAGUAAGAAGGUGCUUUGAGAGCCCAUCCCAUGUGAAGGGAUGCACUCUUGGCCUGGGCACAUGGGGAAGAGCCUAGGCCCGGCCCAGGAUGAUGUGGUAGACUUUGGGGAGCCCCCAUUGAGGGCCCUACCCUGCCUGGGG
RNAcentral lists this long non-coding RNA (726 nucleotides) under Cricetulus griseus (Chinese hamster). RNAcentral describes it as "lncRNA (ENSCGRG00015031286.1)". Lineage: Eukaryota; Metazoa; Chordata; Mammalia; Rodentia; Cricetidae. The record is from RNAcentral.